CGGAUUAGCGGCGGACGGGUGAGUAACACGUGAGUAACCUGCCUUAGACAUUGGGAUAGCCUCGGGAAACCGGGAUUAAUACCAAAUAAAAUAAUAAUGACACAUGUCAUAACGAUCAAAACUCCGGUGGUCUAAGAUGGACUCGCGUCCCAUUAGCUAGUUGGUAGAGUAAAAGCCUACCAAGGCGACGAUGGGUAGCCGGCCUGAGAGGGUGAACGGCCACAUUGGAACUGAGAAACGGUCCAA
This 246-nucleotide ribosomal RNA is filed under the name uncultured Eubacteriales bacterium. RNAcentral's name for it is "uncultured Clostridiales bacterium partial 16S ribosomal RNA". It matches the Rfam family "Bacterial small subunit ribosomal RNA", at positions 88 to 334 of the family's 1533-position model. Lineage: Bacteria; Bacillati; Bacillota; Clostridia; Eubacteriales. The record is from RNAcentral.